GCUGUGGCUUAGUUGGUCAAAGUGCCUGUCUAGUAAACAGGAGAUCCUGGGUUCAAAAGUGCCUUUUCCCAGUCAAGUG
This 79-nucleotide transfer RNA is filed under the name Hippoglossus stenolepis (Pacific halibut). RNAcentral's name for it is "tRNA-Thr". The stretch from base 5 to 72 matches the Rfam family "tRNA", at positions 8 to 63 of the family's 71-position model. Rfam says of the family: Transfer RNA (tRNA) molecules are approximately 80 nucleotides in length. Their secondary structure includes four short double-helical elements and three loops (D, anti-codon, and T loops). Further hydrogen bonds mediate the characteristic L-shaped molecular structure. tRNAs have two regions of fundamental functional importance: the anti-codon, which is responsible for specific mRNA codon recognition, and the 3' end, to which the tRNAs corresponding amino acid is attached (by aminoacyl-tRNA synthetases). tRNAs cope with the degeneracy of the genetic code in two manners: having more than one tRNA (with a specific anti-codon) for a particular amino acid; and 'wobble' base-pairing, i.e. permitting non-standard base-pairing at the 3rd anti-codon position. The record is from RNAcentral. Lineage: Eukaryota; Metazoa; Chordata; Actinopteri; Pleuronectiformes; Pleuronectidae.